Molecule: long non-coding RNA, 292 nt
Organism: Onychostruthus taczanowskii (white-rumped snowfinch)
Lineage: Eukaryota; Metazoa; Chordata; Aves; Passeriformes; Passeridae
Exons: 3
Source: RefSeq, a predicted model, not a curated record
GGAAGGACUGAGCAGAACAUUGCUUUAGAAUGAAAUCCAGACAUGUCUUCGUAGAGCUGAUCUGAGACUCAGUCCAAAACUACUGACUUAGAACACACACAGAAUUACACCCAAAGAAGGCAAAGGGAGGACUUGGCUGUGAAUUUCACAGGCUACCACCUGCAUUCUACCCUGUGUACAAACACCACGUGCCCAGGGAUAGCAGCAGCAGCACUGCACCAAGAGAAGAGAAGAGAAGACACAGCUUGGCGACAAAAGGUCACGAGAACUGCCUCAGCUCUGCAGCAAAAGA